UGUUUGCUUCUCGCUGUUAUCCCUCUCACCCCCUCCCCCCAAAGUUUCUGUGGUUUUCCUGUCCUGUUCGUCCUUCCUCAGCAGUCUAUCUGCCUUUCCCUCCCCCUCUGCUUCUCUCCCUUCUUCCAGCUUUGUUUCUGGGGUAGCUGGGAGAAGGGUUUUGUUUGAUGGAUCUAUUUGUAAUGGGUGAGGUCCACCUUUCAGCAGUGCCACUCUCCGCUCCAUCAGUUUAUUGUUAAGGGAUGGACCAUUUCAUCCAACCCAAAAUGCAUGAGAAAAAAGAUUUGCCCAGCUGGAGGCUAACAUGGCUGCUCCUGAGAUCUGGUCAUCAUCAGAGAAAGGAGCACUCCCUGCAUUGCAGAGUCCUAUGCUGCUGGUUUGCCCACCAGACUGCAGGACUUUCUUUUCACUGAAUGUUGAGGCUUAUACUCAUGGAGUAUCUCAAAGUUGGGAGAUCCUAGUGCAGGCACUACCAGAAUGGGAAGAUGGAGGAAGUAGAACAUGA
RNAcentral lists this long non-coding RNA (505 nucleotides) under Phasianus colchicus (ring-necked pheasant). RNAcentral's name for it is "lncRNA (ENSPCLG00000000010.1)". Lineage: Eukaryota; Metazoa; Chordata; Aves; Galliformes; Phasianidae. The record is from RNAcentral.